UUAAAUUGAAGAGUUUGAUCAUGGCUCAGAUUGAACGCUGGCGGCAGGCCUAACACAUGCAAGUCGAACGGUAACAGGAAGAAGCUUGCUUCUUUGCUGACGAGUGGCGGACGGGUGAGUAAUGUCUGGGAAACUGCCUGAUGGAGGGGGAUAACUACUGGAAACGGUAGCUAAUACCGCAUAACGUCGCAAG
This 193-nucleotide ribosomal RNA is filed under the name Escherichia coli. RNAcentral's name for it is "partial 16S ribosomal RNA". It matches the Rfam family "Bacterial small subunit ribosomal RNA", at positions 1 to 185 of the family's 1533-position model. The record is from RNAcentral. Lineage: Bacteria; Pseudomonadati; Pseudomonadota; Gammaproteobacteria; Enterobacterales; Enterobacteriaceae.